GCCAUGGUUAGCGGAAAUAUCGGCUCAAUGUUGUGGCGGCCAAUGGGCGGGAUGCACGCGUGGCCGGGAAGGGAAGAGGGCGUGGUGACAGGUGUUAUGCCAUGCACUCCUAGGGCUCCAUGGCUGCUCUGGUCGGACACGGUUGUGUGGGCAUUCCCGUGAGAGCCUGUGCGUGGUAAGUAACAGGGGCAAGUAGAAUGGUAGUUGGGCACACAAUCCAGGCUCUUCUCGGGAUCAACUCAGGACUGUGAGAGGCAAAUUGGCUCAUCUCCAACUUAGCAAAGCUUUGAUCCCUGUUCGCCACUGCCUCACGAGCUCUUUGGCCUACAGGAAAGCAAUUAUCAAGGACACUCCCUCUUUAUCCCCGGAUUCUCUCGAGGAAUCCCUUGCUGCUGGGCCUGGUGAGGGAUUUUUGUUUCAGCACAUGCUUGGGAUCAACUCCAUUUGUAGGAACCAGGUGUUUCGAGUUGACGUAGGGCUGUCGAGUGGCUGCGCCAGCCAACACUGCUCCUGAAGUUUUGGAAAUCCUUCUCCUUGAAAGAGAAGGAGAAGCAGCAGGUGCCACCGCAAGCAUCGCCUGGUUUAGCUUCGUUUUUAGAUUGAGGUAAGUCGUAAGUUUGAAUAUCUUUGUAUUCUAUGAUGAGAUUUUUUUUCUGUCUGAUACUGCUUCCAUCGAAUCUAAAAUUUAGUUCCAGUUUCCGAGAGUUUGAGGGCCGGUUUCAACAAUGCUGUGCUGGGAUGCUGUGCUAGGUAGCCUGAUGCUGGCGUAGGAGCAGCACUUGGGGCUACAGCUCAAAAUUGCAAAGCUGUGGAUUAUGAGGCAGAGAUUGAUCAUUACAUAGUUGUGAAAUUUAUAUAUAUCCAACUGUAGUCUGCAUUUCUAUUCUGCAUAAACUUCUAUACAAACUCAA
Molecule: long non-coding RNA, 911 nt
Organism: Selaginella moellendorffii
Lineage: Eukaryota; Viridiplantae; Streptophyta; Lycopodiopsida; Selaginellales; Selaginellaceae
Exons: 2
Source: RefSeq, a predicted model, not a curated record